CGCGUAGGCGGUCUUGUCGGUCAGAUGUGAAAGCCCAGGGCUCAACCUUGGACGUGCACUUGAAACAGCAAGACUUGAGUACGGGAGAGGAAAGCGGAAUUCCUGGUGUAGAGGUGAAAUUCGUAGAUAUCAGGAGAAACACCGAUGGCGAAGGCAGCUUUCUGGACCGAUACUGACGCUGAGGCGCGAAGGCGUGGGUAGCGAACAGGAUUAGAUACCCUGGUAGUCC
This 229-nucleotide ribosomal RNA is filed under the name uncultured bacterium. RNAcentral's name for it is "partial 16S ribosomal RNA". It matches the Rfam family "Bacterial small subunit ribosomal RNA", at positions 568 to 796 of the family's 1533-position model. The record is from RNAcentral.